Molecule: transfer RNA, 64 nt
Filed under: Coenonympha phryne
Lineage: Eukaryota; Metazoa; Arthropoda; Insecta; Lepidoptera; Nymphalidae
Description: Triphysa phryne tRNA-Tyr
Source: RNAcentral
AGUAAAAUGGCUGAGGUUAAAGCGAUAAAUUGUAUAUUUAUUAACGAGAAUCUCUCUUUUACUA